UUUUGACUAGCAAAUAGUGGUUAACCAUUUUCGUGAUCGGUCAUCGGAAGUAACACGUGGCAAGACGAUACACGUACUCGUAGCUAAGAGUACGUGUAAAGGUAAUAUUAUUAGAAAAUAAGCCAAACGCAUGUGUGUGUGUUACUAUGAAACUGGGUAAAGUUAAAAAAACGGGGACAAAGAAAUUAUCGAGCAAACCAAAACCAAAGUAACGCGCUACAAGCAAGCCAAACGUCAAACCGUCAAAGUGUUGGCUUUUAAUUUUCCUGGAUCCCGUACAUGUGUGAUCGAUCUUGAGGGUUUGGCAAGGCGUGAUAGUAAAUUUAGAAAGUAUAAUCUCACUGAUAAUUCCAUUUUCCAUUUCUUUCCAGGUUCUCCAUCGAAAUCUGCCACCCAUCAGGAACGAUCUCGCACAGAUGCACACCCAAAGGGCUACGAAAUACUAUUUCUCGUAACGCAAUCAAACAAGGCGAUCUCAUCAACAAAACUCCAAGAAAAAUACACACACACAGAGUCUAUAUGCGCAAGCGAGUAAAUCUGGGACGCAAAUGCACGGGCAGCGAACGAAAUUUUGUUUUGCUAAAGAAGAACGCGAGAUCGAGAAGUACAAUGGUACAAAAUGGCGACCGUGCGCCGUGUGAUAUUCUGUCGUGUGAGCUAAGGGCUGGCAAACCACUACUCUACACAGAAAACGAAAAUGAAACAGUAACGUGUUCUUGCAGAAGGUUGUGGUGUGUUUUUUUUAAAGCAAAUGCCAUUACUAGUAGUAAGAACGCUUCAAUGUAUACACUAUGCAUAGGCUCAUUCAUUCGCAGAAAUAGGGUUUUAUACCGUGUGGCUCUAAAUAGGCGAAAAAUGGCGGAUGGGGAAGGUUAGAAUGCAAAGAGUCGAAAACGGACGGACGGACGGGGUGGAUUGAUUUGUUUGAUUUGUUGAUUGAUUUGGUUGGCUUGGCACAGGCCUGGCUGUGGCGGUAGACAAACGGACACUUACCAUCUUAAUGUCACUGAUGGUCAUAAUGCUUCGAACGAACAGAUUGAUACGAACGAUCGCCGGACCAUCUGGCGAGUUGUGGGCGUGUGUUGGGGCGUGAGAUUUGGGUGGAAUUUCGUUUGUUGCAAUUUUUGUUUUAGAAAUCGUGAACAGAGUAUAAUUUUGUUCGAUUCGACAGUGUUGUUUUUUUUUUUCAAUGAUCGAUGGAGUAUGAUACAAUAGUUUUGUUUCGGCGAAUUUAUUGUUGUGCGGCGCGUUUUUGUUUUACGUUGUUGGUGGAGGAGAUUGCAGAUGGUGGAUCGUGACCGGUUAGUUGGCAUUGCCGAAGAACGAAGAAAGCAACGAAGUUCGACAGUAACGAGCACGAUAUAUGUGAGUUUUUUUUUGUUUUGGUUUUUUCAUUGUGUAUUUGUGAAGGGGGGUUGUUUUUUUUUUCAUUUCGCGUUCGUGCGCGCGCCAUUCAAGAAAAGAGAGAAAAGUUGAAAGAGAAAAAUGGUCAAAAUAUUUGUGAUAAUUUGUGUGUUGUGUCUGUUGGCUGUGUGAAAAAGCUCGUCGUUGUUUCGGUGUGAAGCAGUGUGUUUGUGUGUCGAGAAGCUGUGCUGUAAAUUGAGUGAAGAGUUUGUGCACGGUUUUUAUUUGAGCAGCUUGAGUGUACGUGUGUGAGUGAGUGAAAGUGUGUUGAUCAUCUUCCCGAACGCGGGAUCCCAUUAAAUCCUUGUUUACCAGAUGCGAGCAGCACCAGAUGGUGACGCUUUUCCUCCGAAGAAUCAUCAGUCAGUUCAAUCGUCCAGAAAUCCGAAGAUAAUGGUAUAACAUUCUUCCAGGCUUCUUUGGACUGAAGGU
Long non-coding RNA from Anopheles stephensi (Asian malaria mosquito), 1836 nucleotides. RefSeq lists it as uncharacterized. The transcript has 3 exons. The record is from RefSeq and is a predicted model, not a curated record. Lineage: Eukaryota; Metazoa; Arthropoda; Insecta; Diptera; Culicidae.